RNAcentral lists this ribosomal RNA (278 nucleotides) under Kryptoperidinium foliaceum. Its description in RNAcentral is "partial Bacterial small subunit ribosomal RNA". It matches the Rfam family "Bacterial small subunit ribosomal RNA", at positions 1 to 281 of the family's 1533-position model. The record is from RNAcentral. Lineage: Eukaryota; Dinophyceae; Peridiniales; Kryptoperidiniaceae.
UUGAGAGUUUGAUCCUGGCUCAGAACGAACGCUGGCGGCAGGCUUAACACAUGCAAGUCGAGCGGAAACGAUGGGAGCUUGCUCCCAGGCGUCGAGCGGCGGACGGGUGAGUAACGCGUAGGAAUCUGCCCAGUAGAGGGGGAUAGCCCGGGGAAACCCGGAUUAAUACCGCAUACGCCCUACGGGGGAAAGGCCGGGAUCUUCGGACCGGUCACUAUUGGAGGAGCCUGCGUGAGAUUAGCUUGUUGGUGGGGUAAUGGCCUACCAAGUCUACGAUC